This 411-nucleotide ribosomal RNA is filed under the name uncultured bacterium. RNAcentral's name for it is "bacterial SSU rRNA". It matches the Rfam family "Bacterial small subunit ribosomal RNA", at positions 97 to 518 of the family's 1533-position model. The record is from RNAcentral.
GGCGGACGGGUGAGUAACGCGUGGGUAACCUGCCGUCAUACAGGGGGAUAACAGCCGGAAACGGCUGCUAAGACCGCAUAAAAUAGAACUGACGCAUGUCAGUUCUAUCAAAUAUUCAUAGGUAUGAGAUGGACCCGCGUCUGAUUAGCUAGUUGGUGGGGUAAUAGCCUACCAAGGCGACGAUCAGUAGCCGGCUUGAGAGAGUGACCGGCCACAUUGGGACUGAGACACGGCCCAAACUCCUACGGGGAGGCAGCAGUGGGGAAAUAUUGCACAAUGGGGGAAAACCCUGAUGCCAGCGACGCCGCGUGAGUGAAAGAAGUAUUUUCGGUAUGUAAAAGCUCUAUCAGCAGGGAAGAAAAUGACGGUACCUGACUAAGAAGCCCCGGCUAACUACGUGCCAGCAGCUGC